Long non-coding RNA from Panicum virgatum (switchgrass), 702 nucleotides. RefSeq lists it as uncharacterized. The transcript has 2 exons. NCBI's taxonomy places the organism in Eukaryota, Viridiplantae, Streptophyta, Magnoliopsida, Poales, Poaceae. The record is from RefSeq and is a predicted model, not a curated record.
GGGGCGAGAUGCUAGAGCUGAGGGGAUGCGGUGGUGAUUUUCUUGAAGAAAUCAGAUGAGCAAAAGGAAGAGUGAGCUGCUGGUUCUUGCGAUGAAGAAAUCAAGGGAGGGGGUCGAUAAAGAAAUCAGAAGAGGGAGGGCUGAUAGCCAGCGUGUUCGCCCCGUCGUCCCUGCUGCCCUAUUGCUGGCCGUCUGCGCAACCGGCCGCUUGCCCCGCCGGCCAUAUGCGCCGCUGGUCGCUCGACCCGCGGAUGCCCUCCACAGCGUCAAGGAAGGUGACUCGAUGAGCGGCGCAAAGAAAAGCGCGGUGGUGACUGAGCUCUUCCUCUUGUUACAGGGUUAAGGUGCGCAAAAAUCAUGGAAGAAUGGUGGAUGAUUUUUCUUACUACAGAUCCUGGUCCCUGAGUCGUUGUCUGCUUCGAUUCGAUUCGUUGGUGCGCAAUCGCCAGAUGUAGCAGUGGGUUUGGUUGAGAAAGAGCUUUUCCCCUUUGUUUAUGCACAAGGCGAUCUACUACGAGGAGAAGCGGCUUUCAGUCUUCUAUAGAAUAAUCUGGAUGCAAGUUGCGUUGGCCUUAUAGCGUUAGUUGGAUACGAAUCAAACGGUUGUCAUUUGUUGUAUACAUGACUCAAUGGUGAGCCAAAAAAAAAGAUUGCCCAAAAUUUGUCAUCCAGAACCAGAAUAUAUGAAUCCACAUUACAUUA